RNAcentral lists this ribosomal RNA (910 nucleotides) under marine metagenome. RNAcentral's name for it is "bacterial SSU rRNA". It matches the Rfam family "Bacterial small subunit ribosomal RNA", at positions 305 to 1233 of the family's 1533-position model. The record is from RNAcentral.
CAGCCACAUUGGGACUGAGACACGGCCCAAACUCCUACGGGAGGCAGCAGUAGGGAAUCUUGCACAAUGGGGGAAACCCUGAUGCAGCGAUGCCGCGUGAGUGAAGAAGGCCUUUGGGUUGUAAAGCUCUUUCGUCGGGGAAGAAAAUGACUGUACCCGAAUAAGAAGGUCCGGCUAACUUCGUGCCAGCAGCCGCGGUAAUACGAAGGGACCUAGCGUAGUUCGGAAUUACUGGGCUUAAAGAGUUCGUAGGUGGUUAAAAAAGUUGGUGGUGAAAUCCCAGAGCUUAACUCUGGAACUGCCAUCAAAACUUUUUAGCUAGAGUAUGAUAGAGGAAAGCAGAAUUUCUAGUGUAGAGGUGAAAUUCGUAGAUAUUAGAAAGAAUACCAAUUGCGAAGGCAGCUUUCUGGAUCAUUACUGACACUGAGGAACGAAAGCAUGGGUAGCGAAGAGGAUUAGAUACCCUCGUAGUCCAUGCCGUAAACGAUGUGUGUUAGACGUUGGAAAUUUAUUUUCUGUGUCGCAGCGAAAGCAAUAAACACACCGCCUGGGGAGUACGACCGCAAGGUUAAAACUCAAAUGAAUUGACGGGGACCCGCACAAGUAGUGGAGCAUGUGGUUUAAUUCGAAGAUACGCGCAGAACCUUACCAACACUUGACAUGUUCGUCGCGACUUUAAGAGAUUAAAGUUUUCGGUUCGGCCGGACGAAACACAGGUGCUGCAUGGCUGUCGUCAGCUCGUGUCGUGAGAUGUUGGGUUAAGUCCCGCAACGAGCGCAACCCUCACUUUUAGUUGCCAUCAUUAAGUUGGGCACUCUGAAAGAACUGCCAGUGAUAAGCUGGAGGAAGGUGGGGAUGACGUCAAGUCCUCAUGGCCCUUACGUGUUGGGCUACACACGUGCUACAAUGG